This 253-nucleotide ribosomal RNA is filed under the name uncultured bacterium. RNAcentral describes it as "partial 16S ribosomal RNA". It matches the Rfam family "Bacterial small subunit ribosomal RNA", at positions 524 to 776 of the family's 1533-position model. The record is from RNAcentral.
UACGUAGGAUGCAAGCGUUGUCCGGAAUUAUUGGGCGUAAAGAGCGCGCAGGCGGUUUGACAAGUCAGAUGUGAAAGAGGCCGGCUUAACCGGCAAGGGUCAUUUGAAACUGUCAGACUAGAGUACAGCAGAGGAUAGCGGAAUUCCCGGUGUAGUGGUGAAAUGCGUAGAUAUCGGGAGGAACACCAGUGGCGAAGGCGGCUAUCUGGGCUGAAACUGACGCUGAGGCGCGAAGGCUAGGGUAGCAAACAGG